Molecule: ribosomal RNA, 253 nt
Filed under: uncultured prokaryote
Description: partial 16S ribosomal RNA
Rfam family: Bacterial small subunit ribosomal RNA
Source: RNAcentral
UACGAAGGGAGCUAGCGUUGUUCGGAAUUACUGGGCGUAAAGGGCGCGUAGGCGGCGCCGUAAGUCAGAUGUGAAAGCCCCGGGCUUAACCUGGGAAUUGCAUAUGAUACUGCGGUGCUAGAGGAUGAGAGAGGAAAGUGGAAUUACGAGUGUAGAGGUGAAAUUCGUAGAUAUUCGUAAGAACACCGGUGGCGAAGGCGGUCUGCUGGGCAGUAGCUGACACUGAGGCGCGACAGCGUGGGGAGCAAACAGG